RNAcentral lists this ribosomal RNA (375 nucleotides) under uncultured organism. RNAcentral describes it as "partial 16S ribosomal RNA". It matches the Rfam family "Bacterial small subunit ribosomal RNA", at positions 527 to 896 of the family's 1533-position model. The record is from RNAcentral.
GUAGGUGGCAAGCGUUGUCCGGGAAUUAUUGGGGCGUAAAGCGCGCGCAGGCGGUUCUUUAAGUCUGAUGUGAAAGCCCACGGGCUCAACCGUGGAGGGUCAUUGGAAACUGGAGAACUUGAGUACAGAAGAGGAAAGCGGAAUUCCACGUGUAGCGGUGAAAUGCGUAGAGAUGUGGAGGAACACCAGUGGCGAAGGCGGCUUUCUGGUCUGUAACUGACGCUGAGGCGCGAAAGCGUGGGGAGCAAACAGGAUUAGAUACCCUGGUAGUCCACGCCGUAAACGAUGAGUGCUAAGUGUUAGGGGGUUUCCGCCCCCUAGUGCUGCAGCUAACGCAUUAAGCACUCCGCCUGGGGAGUACGGCCGCAAAGGCUG